CCUACGGGUGGCAGCAGUGGGGGAUAUUGCACAAUGGGGGGAACCCUGAUGCAGCGACGCCGCGUGGGGGAAGGAGAGUUUCGGCGCGUAAAGCCCUAUCGGCAGGGAAGAAGGAGGAGGGUACCGGACGAAGAAGCCCCGGCGAACUACGUGCCAGCAGCCGCGGUAAGACGGAGGGGGCAAGCGUGAUCCGGAUUUACGGGGUGUAAAGGGGGCGCAGACGGAAGCGAAAGCCAGGAGUGAACGCCCGGGGCCCCACCCCGGGACUGCUCUUGGAACUGCGCGGCUGGUGUGCAGGAGGGGCCGGCGGAAUUCCUGGUGUAGCCGUGAACUGCGUAGCUAUCCGG
Molecule: ribosomal RNA, 347 nt
Filed under: uncultured bacterium
Lineage: Bacteria
Description: partial 16S ribosomal RNA
Rfam family: Bacterial small subunit ribosomal RNA
Source: RNAcentral